This 529-nucleotide ribosomal RNA is filed under the name uncultured bacterium. RNAcentral describes it as "bacterial SSU rRNA". It matches the Rfam family "Bacterial small subunit ribosomal RNA", at positions 980 to 1509 of the family's 1533-position model. The record is from RNAcentral.
CUUGACAUCCAGCGAACUUGGCAGAGAUGCCUUGGUGCCUUCGGGAACGCUGAGACAGGUGCUGCAUGGCUGUCGUCAGCUCGUGUUGUGAAAUGUUGGGUUAAGUCCGCAACGAGCGCAACCCCUUAUCCUUUGUUGCCAGCGAUUCGGUCGGGAACUCAAAGGAGACUGCCGGUGAUAAACCGGAGGAAGGUGGGGAUGACGUCAAGUCAUCAUGGCCCUUACGAGUAGGGCUACACACGUGCUACAAUGGCGCAUACAAAGAGAAGCGACCUCGCGAGAGCAAGCGGACCUCAUAAAGUGCGUCGUAGUCCGGAUCGGAGUCUGCAACUCGACUCCGUGAAGUCGGAAUCGCUAGUAAUCGUGGAUCAGAAUGCCACGGUGAAUACGUUCCCGGGCCUUGUACACACCGCCCGUCACACCAUGGGAGUGGGUUGCAAAAGAAGUAGGUAGCUUAACCUUCGGGAGGGCGCUUACCACUUUGUGAUUCAUGACUGGGGUGAAGUCGUAACAAGGUAGGCGUAGACGU